This is a long non-coding RNA of Capra hircus (goat), 1013 nucleotides long. RefSeq lists it as uncharacterized. The record is from RefSeq and is a predicted model, not a curated record. Lineage: Eukaryota; Metazoa; Chordata; Mammalia; Artiodactyla; Bovidae. The transcript is spliced from 3 exons.
CCAGGUUGGGAAACUUGGUCUCAUUGCCGGUGGGUGGAGGGUGCGGUUUCUUUGUCCACCUCGGACGCCUCGGCCCCUGGUGGCCUCUAUUCGCUCGCUACCCCGAACCGCGGGGCUUUGAGCGGCAGUGGGCGUGGUCAGGGAGUUUGACGAGCCGCAGGCAGAGAGCUGCCUGUUUCGAACCCCGGACCCGUGGCGGAGGUGGAGAAACCCAGACAAGUCCAGUAACUUUCCAAAGUCACAGAGCAGCAAACAAGUGGUGGAUCUGGGAUUUGAAUGCAUUUUGAAGGCAGAGCCCCUCAAAACACCUUGCUACAUUGCUCUCCCCAGAUUCGUUUCCCGUAGAGGUCCAUAGAGAAUAUUGAGUGGAGUUCCCUGUGCUAUGCAGUAGGCUGUUGUGCCACUGCACGCGUGCUGAGUUGCUUCAGUCAUGUCCAUCCCUUCGGCCCUGUGGACUGCAGCCCACCAGCCUCCUCUGUCGUUGGGAUCUUCCAAGCAACAAUACUGACUUAAGUAGAUUGCUGUGCUCUCCUCCAGGGGAUCUUCCUGACCCAGGAAUUGAACCUGUGUCUCUUAGGUCUCCUGCAUUGGCCAAUUGCACUUUCUAAAAAUGGCCAAUUGCCUGCGCUUUCUAAGCAGCCCUCAAGUCCUCCGGACAAAAAAAAAAAAUAAAAAAAACUGCUAGGAAGUGAUCUGGGAACAGUUUAACACUGCUUUCUCCACUCUCCUUGGGAUGGAAUAUAUAUCACAUGCUCUUCUUUUAUACUGUCUUGCACAGAAAUACAUAAAUCACAGUAUCUUCCUCAGACCUUUUAAAAUCUACUUUUCCCCCUUCAAUGUUGAAAAGUCAUAAUAAACCUGAAACCUUCUUAGUCCCUUCAUUAUAUUUGUGUCAUAAAGCUCACAGUUGAUGUCAGAAAAGAGACUUCCAUGUAUAAAGAAAGAUGUGGAAAGUAUGUUAAAGUAAGAUGGAUUUAACGAGCAACUUGAAAAUGAGCUGCAAUGUAUUUCUU